RNAcentral lists this ribosomal RNA (383 nucleotides) under uncultured Eunotia. RNAcentral describes it as "SSU rRNA". It matches the Rfam family "Eukaryotic small subunit ribosomal RNA", at positions 585 to 972 of the family's 1831-position model. The record is from RNAcentral. Lineage: Eukaryota; Bacillariophyta; Bacillariophyceae.
CCAGCUCCAAUAGCGUAUAUUAAAGUUGUUGCAGUUAAAAAGCUCGUAGUUGGAUUUGUGGCAGGCGUCGGCGGCCCGACACUGUGUGUGGGUGCCUGUUGGCGCCGCCAUCCUUGGGUGGAACCUGUGUGGCAUUAGGUUGUCGUGCAGGGGAUGCCCAUCGUUUACUGUGAAAAAAUUAGAGUGUUCAAAGCAGGCUUAUGCCGUUGAAUAUAUUAGCAUGGAAUAAUGAGAUAGGACCUUGGUACUAUUUUGUUGGUUUGCGCACCAAGGUAAUGAUUAAUAGGGACAGUUGGGGGUAUUCGUAUUCCAUUGUCAGAGGUGAAAUUCUUGGAUUUUUGGAAGACGAACUACUGCGAAAGCAUUUACCAAGGAUGUUUUCA